CGGCGGACGGGUGAGUAACACGUGGAUAACCUACCUAUAAGACUGGGAUAACUUCGGGAAACCGGAGCUAAUACCGGAUAAUAUAUUGAACCGCAUGGUUCAAUAGUGAAAGACGGUUUUGCUGUCACUUAUAGAUGGAUCCGCGCCGCAUUAGCUAGUUGGUAAGGUAACGGCUUACCAAGGCAACGAUGCGUAGCCGACCUGAGAGGGUUAUCGGCCACACUGGAACUGAGACACGGUCCAGACUCCUACGGGAGGCAGCAGUC
Molecule: ribosomal RNA, 266 nt
Filed under: uncultured Staphylococcus sp.
Lineage: Bacteria; Bacillati; Bacillota; Bacilli; Caryophanales; Staphylococcaceae
Description: partial 16S ribosomal RNA
Rfam family: Bacterial small subunit ribosomal RNA
Source: RNAcentral